This 609-nucleotide ribosomal RNA is filed under the name uncultured archaeon. Its description in RNAcentral is "bacterial SSU rRNA". It matches the Rfam family "Archaeal small subunit ribosomal RNA", at positions 1 to 598 of the family's 1478-position model. The record is from RNAcentral.
UCCGGUUGAUCCUGCCAGAGGCCGCUGCUAUCCGGCUGGGACUAAGCCAUGCUAGUCUAGGGGCUUGUACCCCUUCGGGGGUGCAAGCACCGGCGGACGGCUCAGUAACACGUGGACAACCUGCCCUCGGGUGGGGGAUAACCCCGGGAAACUGGGGCUAAUCCCCCAUAGGUGAUGGGUGCUGGAAUGCCCCAUCUCCGAAAGCGCUCAGCGCCCGAGGAUGGGUCUGCGGCGGAUUAGGUAGUUGGUGGGGUAACGGCCCACCAAGCCUAAGAUCCGUACGGGCUGUGGGAGCAGGAGCCCGGAGAUGGACCCUGAGACAAGGGUCCAGGCCCUACGGGGCGCAGCAGGCGCGAAACCUCCGCAAUGCGGGAAACCGCGACGGGGUUAGCCGGAGUGCCCGUGCAUUGCACGGGCUGUCGGGGUGCCUAAACAGCACCCCAUAGCAAGGGCCGGGCAAGGCCGGUGGCAGCCGCCGCGGUAAGACCGGCGGCCCGAGUGGCGGCCACUCUUAUUGGGCCUAAAGCGUCCGUAGCCGGCCCAGUAAGUCCCCCGGGAAAUCUGGUCGCUUAACGAUCAGACUUCCGGGGGAUACUGCUGGGCUAGGGA